Amphimedon queenslandica is the source of this 820-nucleotide long non-coding RNA. RefSeq lists it as uncharacterized. NCBI's taxonomy places the organism in Eukaryota, Metazoa, Porifera, Demospongiae, Haplosclerida, Niphatidae. The record is from RefSeq and is a predicted model, not a curated record. The transcript is spliced from 2 exons.
UUUUAAAAAUUACCAUAAAUCAGAAUGCUGUCAGUUUCUCUUAUUACUACACUUAAAUGAAGUAUUAUAAUCAAUGUUUGCAAAGCAGAUGUUAGAUGAAAGAUAACUGAUGUUAUCACUGAGAACCAAGGAGCAUACGACGAUGCAGGAUAAUGGCCGAUCUUACGAAAUAUCGGACGCGGUUAUUCAUUGCAGCAUAACUUUAAGUAUAAGUCACUAAACUUUCUUGAAUUUUUGUAUAUAGUAGGGCUAGAGUGUGUCUUUAAAUCAGUGCAUAAAUGACCUAAAUUGGCAAUGUAUAGGAUGAGAAAAGUGCGUCCGAAUAUAGGUGGAGUCCGAUCAUUGAUAGAUUACUCUAGAUCUAUGUAGGAGUGGCUAGGAAAAGAUGGAGGCAGAUUUGAGUGAGGAGGUAGAGGAAAAUGAAGUCUCAUCCGUACAAAGGGUAGUAUUCCUUAUUGAGACGCUUAUAGCGGACAGUAGCAGCCAGUGUGCAACAUCUCCUCAUUUUGAGUACAGUAAAGACGAGAUUGGAAAGUGUCAUCACAGUAUUGGAAGAUAAUAUUAAUCCUAACGAAGUGGCUACGGAACCGGUACCGGUUUCCAUUUUCAAGGUCUUAUAGAACCGGCAUGAUCACGUGGUGCCUAAACCACGCCCAUUUUAACGAGCUAAUUAAAUAGUAAUUAUUGAUUAAUCAUUAUCUGAAAUUAACUUCCUUAUUUUCUUUCUUUAAUUUUGUUUAUCUCACAAUUAUUCAUCAUUGUUUCUUUGAAUUCACUCUUUUUAUUGUUAUAGUUUAUCAAAGUACUUUUUUAAUCCAAA